RNAcentral lists this ribosomal RNA (465 nucleotides) under Vreelandella stevensii. RNAcentral describes it as "partial 16S ribosomal RNA". It matches the Rfam family "Bacterial small subunit ribosomal RNA", at positions 338 to 795 of the family's 1533-position model. The record is from RNAcentral. Lineage: Bacteria; Pseudomonadati; Pseudomonadota; Gammaproteobacteria; Oceanospirillales; Halomonadaceae.
CCUUCGGGAGGCUGCAGUGGGGAAUAUUGGACAAUGGGGGCAACCCUGAUCCAGCCAUGCCGCGUGUGUGAAGAAGGCCCUCGGGUUGUAAAGCACUUUCAGUGAGGAAGAACGCCUGGUGGUUAAUACCCAUCAGGAAAGACAUCACUCACAGAAGAAGCACCGGCUAACUCCGUGCCAGCAGCCGCGGUAAUACGGAGGGUGCGAGCGUUAAUCGGAAUUACUGGGCGUAAAGCGCGCGUAGGUGGCUUGAUAAGCCGGUUGUGAAAGCCCCGGGCUCAACCUGGGAACGGCAUCCGGAACUGUCAAGCUAGAGUGCAGGAGAGGAAGGUAGAAUUCCCGGUGUAGCGGUGAAAUGCGUAGAGAUCGGGAGGAAUACCAGUGGCGAAGGCGGCCUUCUGGACUGACACUGACACUGAGGUGCGAAAGCGUGGGUAGCAAACAGGAUUAGAUACCCCAGUAGUC